Molecule: ribosomal RNA, 468 nt
Filed under: uncultured bacterium
Lineage: Bacteria
Description: partial 16S ribosomal RNA
Rfam family: Bacterial small subunit ribosomal RNA
Source: RNAcentral
GAUGAACGCUGGCGGCGUGCUUAACACAUGCAAGUCGAACGGAAAGGCCGAAACUUGCUUCGGUACUCGUGUGCCGAACGGGUGAGUAACACGUGGGUGUUCUGCCCUUUUCUUCCGGAUAUGCCUGGGAAACUGGGUCUAAUACCGGAUAUGAUGAUCUCUUGGACGGGGUUCUGGAAAGCUUUUGCGGUAUGGGAUGAGCUCGCGGCGUAUCAGCGUGUUGGUGGGUUGAUGGCCUACCAAGGCGUCGACGGGUAGCCGGCCUGAUAGAGUGUACGGACACAUUAGACUCGAGAGACAGGCCAGACUACUACGUGAGGCAGCAGGGGGGAAUAUUGGACAAUGGACGGAAGCCUGAUGCAGCGAGGCCGCCGGGGCGAUGACGGCCGUCGGGAUGUAAACACAUAUCGCAAACGACGAAGGCUUUUGGUGACGGUAGGUUGACAAGAAGCCACGGCUAACUACGUG